Molecule: RNA transcript, 5120 nt
Organism: Amphiprion ocellaris (clown anemonefish)
Lineage: Eukaryota; Metazoa; Chordata; Actinopteri; Pomacentridae
Gene: faap100
Gene name: FA core complex associated protein 100
Exons: 10
Source: RefSeq, a predicted model, not a curated record
UUCUUCGUGGGUAGAGGUAUAGUAGGGAAUGUGCACCAGCGCGCCAUCCAGUGUUGUCCAAACCAAGCGGCGCCAAGUUUUAACAAAUUCGCCGGCACUACGAUUGAAUUGCAUUUGAUUUGAUUUUAUAGAAACCAGACCACUUUUUUUCCAUUUUUACGCUUGUCACUGAUCCAUGAAUCCCGAGGGUGGGUCAAGAAGGAGCUUUCAGCACGAAAACUACAACCGCCAUCCACUCGGCCACACAGUCAAUGGUAUUUCCAGUUUGUUUAUAUGGGAAAUGUAGUUCAUAAGUGUGAUUGGUCAAAAACGCGACGCGCGGAACUUGGUGAGUUUUACAUCCUGCUUCUGUCAACAACCGGUUCAGAAUUACAGUUUAUGUUAUUAUUCCUCACUCCGUGUCAGUAUUGUGCUUAUUAACAUCCCAUAUACACACUCAGCGGCCUCUUCUUCUUCGGUAAUGGAGGGACGGUGCGCUGUUGAGACCUGGACAGAGUUUGGUUUUUUAGCAACAUCAACUAUACCGAAGGUCAGGUUUGGAACAGAUGUGUUCAUCUGCACUGGCAGCGACGAGGUUUGUGUCUUCAGUACUCAUGAGAGAAGACUCAAGGCUGUUCUGCAGUUACCUGGUCCAGUGACUGACCUGGUAGAGAGCCAUGACAAGCAGCUCUUCUAUGUGGCAUGUAGCACUGGAGUUUAUUGUGUCAAUUUACAAUCUCUGCUACACAGGGCUCAAAGCUCCUCACCUGAUGCAUCUUCCAAUCCUGCUGAGCUGAAAAUCUCCUCUGAGUUUCUUGUUAUUGAAGCAGAUGAAGUGUCGUCUCUGCUCCUUGUUGGCUCGGUGCUCCUGACCGUCUGCCAGAGAGACUCCUCCUGGCUGGUGACUUUGAUUAAAACACCAGAACAAACACCGUCCAGCAGCUAUGAGGUGCUCGGUUCAUUUAGUCUGCCUCUGGUCUCAGCUGUUGUUCAAGGUGACACUGAGUCAAAGACAGGGCGGAGAAGGACGUCUGUGUUGAUUUGUCUCCAUUCUGGUGACACAGCACCAUUAACUUUACCUCAUGGCCACUUCUGCCUCGAGCCCGUCCUCUUCAAACUUCUGUUUGGAGUCGAAGCUGCUCUCGCCAAAUCACCGGUUAUCCUGUGCGGCCUGCCAGACGGGCGCCUGUGUUUCCUCCCUCUGCGUCUUCCAGGAGCCCGGCUUCGAGUUCUGCACAGCCUUGAGCAGCCAGUUGUGUUCGUUGGAGCGUCUGUCGUCAUGGAAACCGGCCCGGGACACGCACAGUGUUUGGUGGCAAUGGGUGAACAGGGCAGAGUGGUCCUGAUCAAGACUGAGAAGGGAGGAUCAGAGGAUGGGAGCAGCCUCGCUGGUUUCACUGAGGGGUUAGUAGCGGGGCCUGUUCAGUGUGGCUGCCUGGAUAGAAACUGUCUUUACUACAGCACUGGUUCAGAUCUGCUGCUGCUGGAUCUGUCAGAGGGAUCUUCUGGGAAAGAAGGCAAAGAGAGGGAUGAAGAGACAUCCAGGAAGACCCUCCAGAGUCCCGCCAGUUUAAAUGUGUGCAGCGUUGUCGCCUUGGCUGAGCCGACAUCCAACACUUCAGGUGAAGUGCAGCUGCUGGGACUGUCUGUCAGAGGGCAGCUCCAGAGGAUCAGUUUACCUGCGAGGAGAAAAGAUGCAGGAUUGUCCAAGCUGCCUUCCACACAAGUGGGCCGAAGCAUCAGGGACCUCCUGUCUGCUAUCGGAGAUGUCUGCGAAAGAGCAUCGGUGCUGAAAACAGCCAUCAAAUCCAAAAACCAGAUUCUGAGACACCUGAAUCAGGUCGUCAACAUCAGUUUCCUGCUCACAGCCACUAGUAAUACUGAAGAUGAUCCUGCCAUUAAGGAGAAGCCAAUCAGAUGUCACGCUAUGACUAGCUGGAGCAGACUGCUUCAAACAGACUCUCUGAAUCUUACAUGUGUUCUGGAUAAUUCCAGUCCUUAUGUCUUGGAACGAGGCUGGACUCUGAGCAUCACCGUGUUUCCUUUGUGCUGCUCUUCCGCCGCAAGAGAAGAAAUUUCCUCCACAAACUUUUCAUUCCCAUUCCAGAAUCUCAAUUCAGGGGAAACUUUAGAGGUGUCGCUGCCUAUAGCAGCUGCAGGAGACUCAUCUAUCCCGAUGACUGUGAACUGCUCGCUCAUCUUCUCCCUCUCAAGUCUUCUGGGAGAGCAGGAGGCAGCGAACUGUCCUGGGUUGCAGAGCAGCAAUAUCAGUUUGCCCUUGAACACACUGACAGUGGACUGGUUGAAUGCUCUGCAGCUAAACAGUGCCACAGCCAGACAUAAAAUGGUCACAUUUCAAUCCGGCAGCAUCACAACAGACGCCAUCCAAGCUUUUAUAAGCUCACAGCAGAUGAGGUGCAGUGGAAGAGCCGACAGAGGAGGAGAGAGUGGAUCAACGCCGGAGAAGUAUUCAGCGAGUGUGCGGGUGUCAUUGGAGUUAUUGAAAGAUUCACUGGUGUUAAAAAACUCUAAUUUGGAUCCCAAGGUGCCGAAGAUGGCCCCUGAAAGCCUCUGCAGCUCUCUGAUUGAGUGGCUGUUGUCUGAAGGUCCAGGAGGAGUGAAGAUGGGACACCAAGGAGAUAUGAUUUCCUUGAGCAGCUCAGCUGUCCACGCUCGUGGUCCAAAUGGAGCCACAGUCAAACUGACUGCGAAACAGAUAAACGUCGAGGAGGAGAACACGGAGAAGGAGGAGCGUCUGACAGCAGUAGAGGUUCAGGUCGAGAGCUCAUCCAUAGCAGCAGUGUGUGGACUGCAUCAUGCUGUGCUGAGCCGGAUACAGACAGGGCUCAGCUGGGACUUCACAGCCGCUAUCUGAUAGAUGAGAGAGGAGACAGAGGAAGGAGAGAAGGAUGGAGGAAGAGAAAGAAACAGAGAACGGGGGGGGGAAAGAGAUUGGAUACGCUGAAAUCCAAGCCAGCAAUCUGAGGAUAUCAAUAGCUGUGUUGAUGACCAUCUUCGACACACCCCUUGGUCAAGCAUAAGCAGUAAGAUGUUGUCAUCACAUCCAUGAUCGCUGGUAAACGACGGCCACAGCAUCGCACUAUCUGGUGCAUGUGGACAACACACAGGUAGCUUCAAUAGUGCCUCAUUUUGGAUCAGACCCCAGAUCCAGCUCCUCUUCCUGAUGCUGUCCAACUUCCAGCCUGCAAGUGGAGCAGGCCUAACUAAUCCAUCAACGAUAGAUGGCUCUGACAUCAAUUUUUAAUGGGCAGAGUGGACCACUUAGACCCGAGGAACACAGGAAGGCGAUGAGAGACAUGAUAACGGAUCUACAUGACAAGCUAACGCACAAACUUGCACACACACACACACACACACACACACACGCUUGCAUACUUGCAGGCACAAACAUACAAUUCACUGCUGCAUUUCAUGCCUGUCAACAAAACUUUUUACAAUUUUAAAUCUAAAUUCAUGCUUUUCCACAUAACAGCUAACCCUGUUGUUUGUUUGUUUUUUUUUUCCUGCAUGUUGCACUGCACUAAAUGAAGCCCAAACGUUGGUGCUAAUUUAUGAGACACAGAUGACAUUAGGCAGGAUGAAAUGAAGAGCCCACCUGUCUCCACUCAUACUCCUGUGGUCCUUUGGGAGUCAUCCUACAGCUGUAUCCUCCCUUCUCUGCUUUCCACUCUCCCCUUCCUUCUCCUGAAUCAUCGUGUAGAACCCAGAGACCGAGGACCUAUAACAGCAGGACUCCCCCAGGAGCAGCAUGAGGAACACGACCAAGAGCUAGAGGUGUUGAUCCAGCCUCCAAACCACGCAGAUCCAAAUCUAAUCGAGUAGGAAAAGAUCCCAGUGCCAGACACCACCUCCAGAGAUCCUGUACCCGUGCAUUAAUGGGUCUGGAAACACCAGAGGGACCUACACAACAUCAGACCAAAGAACUACAGACUCUUCACAACCUGCUCAAACUCUUGGUACAGGAUCUCACCACAUGGAUCAAGAAGGUUUCUGUCUCAUUUCUACUCUGAAGCUCACCUUCUGCUCAAACUGCUGACAAAUGUUUCUGCUGCUCUAAAGUCUGGUCUCCAGAACUUCCUAAAAACUCUCAAAGUCUCUUCUGCUGCAGGUUGCUUUGUAGAACUGUUCCAGAAAACCUCACUAAACCACAUGGAGGGGCCUCAAGAUAGUCGUCCAAAUGAAACCGUACAAAAACCAAACUAAGGCACAACCCAAACGCUAAAGUCUCCUGCAGCCUACCAGAGAACCUCUGAGAACAGAGAAUCAGGACAGGAACUCUUACCUUCUGGACUACCAACGAUGGUUCUCAAACAAGAAUACAGAAUGUGUCUGACCAAAAACCUCUAAAGACUCACUACAGCCAAGAUAAAGACACAACUCAGCUGCACCAAAUCCACUAAUCACUGCACACAUUAGCACCAUGUGCUAACUGUGGCUAAAGAACCUCAUUUACCAAGACAACUAUCCAGUACAAAGCCCUAAAACACACCAAGAAACACAAAGACGAUUUUACUGCUGGAAGCUGCAAGCCAACGCCUAAAGAACAAACCAAAGCAAUGGAGCCAAACCCGGUUCAGUGGUGAACAGAAGCAGAGAAAAUGUUUGUCUGCAGCUAAAUAAAGCAGGAAGACACUGAGCUGCUCAGGUGUUCCUGAUAACACCUAGCAGCCACCUGGACAGCCAAUAGGAACACAGCUUACUGGAAGUCCAGAGGGCUGGGUUAGUCAAGUAAAUUUAGUUUAAAGUUGAAGCAGAAAGUUAACAAAGAAAGUUGAAAACCUCCUUCUGAUACCUGAAAGACUAAGUUUACAACAACACAACAUGUGAGUAGAAAAAUCACAGUCUGUCUUUAGUUCAGCUGAAAAUAUUAGUUUUUUUCUUUUUUCUUUUCUUUUCUUACAGUUACAGAAGUGGUUUGAUUGCAGUGAUUGCCUCAAAAGGUUGUGCAAUAAAAUAUUAAGUUAGGGUACCAUCAUUUUUGUCCAGGUCUGUUUCAUGAGUUUAUUUUUUAAAUAAUUCUGUUGAACCACGGUUCAAUAGCAAUGUCUCAUUUUCACUGAUUAAUUUUCAGAAAAUUUUUAUUUAGUAAUACUUUUGUCAGAUUAAAAUUAUUUCUGUGA